RNAcentral lists this transfer RNA (75 nucleotides) under Caudoviricetes sp. RNAcentral's name for it is "tRNA-Pro". It matches the Rfam family "tRNA". From Rfam's summary of the family: Transfer RNA (tRNA) molecules are approximately 80 nucleotides in length. Their secondary structure includes four short double-helical elements and three loops (D, anti-codon, and T loops). Further hydrogen bonds mediate the characteristic L-shaped molecular structure. tRNAs have two regions of fundamental functional importance: the anti-codon, which is responsible for specific mRNA codon recognition, and the 3' end, to which the tRNAs corresponding amino acid is attached (by aminoacyl-tRNA synthetases). tRNAs cope with the degeneracy of the genetic code in two manners: having more than one tRNA (with a specific anti-codon) for a particular amino acid; and 'wobble' base-pairing, i.e. permitting non-standard base-pairing at the 3rd anti-codon position. The record is from RNAcentral. Lineage: Duplodnaviria; Heunggongvirae; Uroviricota; Caudoviricetes.
CGAGGUGUAGCGCAAUGGUAGCGCGCUUGCUUUGGGAGCAAGAUGCUGCAGGUUCGAGUCCUGUCACCUCGACCA